GUGGCCUAGUGGUUAAAGCAUCCUCCUUGGAUGUGGGAGGUGGUGGGUUCGAUCCCCGGUCAAAUCA
Molecule: non-coding RNA, 67 nt
Organism: Potamilus streckersoni
Lineage: Eukaryota; Metazoa; Mollusca; Bivalvia; Unionida; Unionidae
Source: the annotation of a GenBank genome assembly